Salvia miltiorrhiza (redroot sage) is the source of this 140-nucleotide long non-coding RNA. RefSeq lists it as uncharacterized. The transcript has 2 exons. The record is from RefSeq and is a predicted model, not a curated record. Lineage: Eukaryota; Viridiplantae; Streptophyta; Magnoliopsida; Lamiales; Lamiaceae.
UUCAUAGUGACCACUGACCAUGUCAAUGCUUGGAUUAAUUAAUAUAGAGGUGUAUUAUUGUAUUAUUCGACAUUUAAAUUUGAUUUCUUUAAUAAAAUAAUAAUGUCAAUAAUUCACAACAUGAAAAAUGAAAAAUUACU